Phalacrocorax carbo (great cormorant) is the source of this 1855-nucleotide non-coding RNA. The record is from RefSeq and is a predicted model, not a curated record. NCBI's taxonomy places the organism in Eukaryota, Metazoa, Chordata, Aves, Suliformes, Phalacrocoracidae.
GCACGUGACGGCGGGCACGUGACGGCGGCGUCCGACGGGGCGCCGGUCGCCAUGUUGUUGGCGGGGGGCAGCCCGGCGUGGCGGCAGCGGUGGGAGCCCCAAACAGGCACAUUUGGGCAAAGGAUGAAAUACUUCAGAAGUCAUGUUUACAAAUCUUCAGUGAGAACCCCACAACUGUUAUGGAAAAGUCAGUAUUUGGAAGGUGAGUCAAUAUCUAGAAAUCAAAAGCUGAAAAUAACUUUCAGACUCUUCUCUCAGAUGUUUGUCAUUUUAUGCAACACUUCCCUUGACCUCUAGGGCAGCUGAAAUGCUGCAGUUUGACUUCAGUAUGUUGACCUUUCUCAGAGAGGUUGGCAAAAGCCCAGGGUGAGAUUGAAUUUCUUAAGAGCAUCUGCACAGUAUUAUUUCAUGUCAGUCCACGUGUUUUCUAUUAGGAAAAAAACCCAACAAAUAAGGUGCAUACACACAGCAAAUAUCCAUAUAGUCUAUUAAGAGGAAAUUAAUUUUCCUUAGAAGAUACAUUUUUACUACCUGCUUACAUUAGCCUCAGCUUUACUGCAUGACUUUGUCAUUUAUUUUGCAGUGUUUUAAUAAUAACUUUUUAAAAUCAGUAAUUAAAGUAUUUCAUAAAAAGAUCACGUAGGAAGUGACUUGACCAGCAAAGCAGCAGGAACAGAAGUUAGACUUCUUCCAUUUGUGUUCUCUACUCUGGGUAAAGUUUCUUUAAUUUGUAGCUUCAUUUUUCAGAGUUAUGUUUCUUUAGUGUAAAAUUGCCACACUCACAUUUGGCACAAAUUGUACCUCAUCGUCUGAGAAGCAGUGCGAUUUCCUUUAGUUCACAGACUUCAGGUCCACUGGCCAGACACUACAACAACCUGCUUUACCCCAUUCCUGCUCACUCAGCCGUGCCAGAGACAGCAGCGUUAGCAUUGCACAUCACCCUCUGGAACACUUGCCCCUAUGACUACUCAGAUUGUUCUGCGACACAGAAAGACACAGCUGAGGUUUGCUUUCCAACAAAAUAAAGUAUGGAAAAACAAAAAGUGAAAUAUAACACCACGGCUUUUUGAAAUUCUGUUGAUUUGAUGUGAGAAAUAAGAACUUGAUCCAUUCCGCAGCAAUAGCAAGUCUUUCUUCAUGUAAGCUCUUAGGAAGAUCCGCUGGUUAACUGACAAUGGAGGGGGAAAACAUGCAUCUGGAGAUGGGCUCUGAAGCAACAUGGCCCCGACUGGGAGAUUCUGGAAAGCCAGAUUUUAUUUUAAUAUUUAAAACAUAGAAGGAUCUUUCACUGAUCAUUCAAGUCUUCUUUUGGAGUCAGUUCUCCAUUUUUUUUAAUAGCAACAGAAGACUGCAUAUUCUAGCAUUCAAAAAUGUAUUAGUGAAGAUUUUUCAACAUAAAAUCUAAAACUACAGUUGUUGGCUGAAUAUCAGUUAUAGGGCUGAGAUUCUAUUUACCCAAGUGCUUUUUUAGCUUAAAAAAACCCCAAACUUGCUUGUUUUAAUAAACCAGACAGUGAACCAUAAAUAUACAGAUUCUCACCAGCUGAUUGCAUUUAAUUUACUCUGUAAGUCUGCAUUUGCUUUCUAGUAUCUAAAAAAAAAAAGUAUAUAAUCUCUCAUUUUCAAAGCAUUACAUAUUUAUCUUUCUCAAGGAUGGAGGAGUCCAGGCUAACUUAAAUAAUGUAAUCUUUCCUAUUUACCCAACAAGGAAUUAAUUUGCCUUUAUAAAUUAUUCCCCACAAGUCCCUGAUAAUUCUUAUGGGCCCUUUCCUGAAGUUUAAAUUGAAGGCUUCAGAUUAACCUUUAACCUCAGCCAUUUAGCAGAAAACUGUAGAGAAAGUCUAUUUUAAAUAUU